GUGAUUAUUAGAUACCCUGGUAGUCCACGCCGUAAACGGUGGGCGCUAGUUGUGCGAACCUUCCACGGUUUGUGCGACGCAGCUAACGCAUUAAGCGCCCCGCCUGGGGAGUACGAUCGCAAGAUUAAAACUCAAAGGAAUUGACGGGGCCCCGCACAAGCAGCGGAGCAUGCGGCUUAAUUCGACGCAACGCGAAGAACCUUACCAAGGCUUGACAUAUACAGGAAUAUGGCAGAGAUGUCAUAGCCGCAAGGUCUGUAUACAGGUGGUGCAUGGUUGUCGUCAGCUCGUGUCGUGAGAUGUUGGGUUAAGUCCCGCAACGAGCGCAACCCUCGUUCUGUGUUGCCAGCAUUUAGUUGGGGACUCACAGGAGACUGCCGGGGUUAACUCGGAGGAAGGUGGGGAUGACGUCAAAUCAUCAUGCCCCUUAUGUCUUGGGCUGCACGCAUGCUACAAUGGCUGGUACAAACGGCUGCGAUACCGCAAGGUGGAGCGAAUCCGAGAAAGCCAGUCUCAGUUCGGAUUGGGGUCUGCAACUCGACCCCAUGAAGUCGGAGUUGCUAGUAAUCGUAGAUCAGCAACGCUACGGUGAAUACGUUCCCGGGGCUUGUACACACCGCCCGUCACAUCACGAAAGUCGGUAACACCCAAAGUCAGUGGCCCAACCGCAAGGAUG
RNAcentral lists this ribosomal RNA (676 nucleotides) under uncultured Actinomycetes bacterium. RNAcentral's name for it is "bacterial SSU rRNA". It matches the Rfam family "Bacterial small subunit ribosomal RNA", at positions 774 to 1449 of the family's 1533-position model. The record is from RNAcentral. Lineage: Bacteria; Bacillati; Actinomycetota; Actinomycetes.